Molecule: ribosomal RNA, 550 nt
Filed under: uncultured bacterium
Lineage: Bacteria
Description: bacterial SSU rRNA
Rfam family: Bacterial small subunit ribosomal RNA
Source: RNAcentral
GCGUCCGAUUAGCUAGUUGGUAGGGUAAAGGCCUACCAAGGCGACGAUCGGUAGGUGGUCUGAGAGGAUGAUCACCCACAAUGGGACUGAGACACGGCCCAUACUCCUACGGGAGGCAGCAGUGGGGAAUAUUGGACAAUGGGCGCAAGCCUGAUCCAGCCAUGCCGCGUGAGUGAUGACGGCCUUAGGGUUGUAAAGCUCUUUCGCUCGGGACGAUAAUGACGGUACCGAGAUAAGAAGCCCCGGCUAACUUCGUGCCAGCAGCCGCGGUAAUACGAAGGGGGCUAGCGUUGUUCGGAAUUACUGGGCGUAAAGCGCGUGUAGGCGGGUCUUUAAGUCAGGGGUGAAAUGCCAAGGCUCGACCUUGGAACUGCCUUUGAUACUGGAGAUCUUGAGUCCGGGAGAGGUGAGUGGAACUGCGAGUGUAGAGGUGAAAUUCGUAGAUAUUCGCAAGAACACCAGUGGCGAAGGCGGCUCACUGGCCCGGAACUGACGCUGAGACGCGAAAGCGUGGGGAGCAAACAGGAUUAGAUACCCUGGUAGUCCACGC